CAAUAGCGUAUAUUUAAGUUGCUGCAGUUAAAAAGCUCGUAGUUGGAUUUCGGGUGGGAAUGGCCGGUCCGCCGUUUCGGUGUGCACUUGCUACGCCCACCUUGCUGCCGGGGACGUGCUCUUGAGUUCACGCUCGGGACACGGAGUCGGCGAGGUUACUUUGAGUAAAUUAGAGUGUUCAAAGCAGGCCUACGCUCUGAAUACAUUAGCAUGGAAUAACACGAUAGGACUCUGGCCUAUCUUGUUGGUCUGUAGGACCGGAGUAAUGAUUAAGAGGGACAGUCGGGGGCAUUCGUAUUUCAUUGUCAGAGGUGAAAUUCUUGGAUUUAUGAAAGACGAACUACUGCGAAAGCAUUUGCCAAGGAUGUUUNCAUUA
Molecule: ribosomal RNA, 376 nt
Filed under: uncultured eukaryote
Lineage: Eukaryota
Description: partial 18S ribosomal RNA
Rfam family: Eukaryotic small subunit ribosomal RNA
Source: RNAcentral